RNAcentral lists this transfer RNA (80 nucleotides) under Promethearchaeota archaeon. RNAcentral describes it as "Candidatus Lokiarchaeota archaeon (permafrost metagenome) tRNA-Thr". It matches the Rfam family "tRNA". Rfam says of the family: Transfer RNA (tRNA) molecules are approximately 80 nucleotides in length. The record is from RNAcentral. Lineage: Archaea; Promethearchaeati; Promethearchaeota.
GGGCCUGUAGAUCAGUGGAAGAUCACGACCUGUUUUGAUUGGUAUUCAAGAGGUCACGGGUUCAAUUCCCGUCAGGUCCA